GAUAUUGGCCGUCAAUGCUUUAAUGACCUUUUAAAUAGGUUCUUCUUUCAAGAAGUUCAAGGCGAAUAUUUAAUUCAUGACUUGUUGCAUGAUAUGGCACAAAAAGUUUCCGAGCAUGAUUGUUUCAUUGUGAAAAGGACGUCUGACUUCGAAAGGAUUCCUCGGAAUGUCCGGCAUUUGUCAGUACUCAGUGGCAAAGGCAAAUACAAUUCUGACUUGUCGAGCCUAUGCCAGUACAAAAAGCUCCGUACCCUUCUUUGCAACAAACCUUUGGGAAAUAAAAAAACCUCAGGUCGUUUGGUGGGAGAUUGGUGCAAUGAACUUCUGCGUAUGCGUGUGAUUGUUUGUGCGUCUUUGAAUGAGUUACCAACUAGCAUUGGCAAACUGAAGCAUCUUCGGUACCUUGAGAUAUCCAGAUCUUGUUAUGUUACCAGUUUUCCUACAACAUUCUGUAGGCUCCAUAAUUUACAGGUUUUAUGUGUCAAGAAAUGCCAGGUAGAAAGCUUGCCUAGUGACUUCAAUAGGUUGAUCAACUUAUGGAGAUUUGAAUCACAGGGAUUUAAAUAUGGUCCAAAUAUUAGAGGAUUUCCAGAAGAAUAUUAUUAUGGAGUACAUAUUGAUGCAGCCGAAGAUAAGUGUGGACUAGGAUGUAGCUUCAUAAAGAAUAUGAACCAACUUCGUGGACAUUUGGUGAUAAAUAAUGUUUACAAGCUAAGCAAGUAUCAUUUAGCAGAAGCCAAACUAAAGAAUAAGGAAUGUUUUGACAAGAUGACGCUGCAAUGGGGACAACGGGGUAAAACAUUCAGUCAGGAAAACGAGAUAGAAGUCCUUGCAGAUCUACAACCUCCUGCUAGUAUCAAGUCUCUAGUCCUUGACAAUUGCCCAGCUGUUUCUUCUCCGAGCUGGUUUCAGCCACAAAGCCUGCCAAGCUUAAUAUCAGUUUCAUUUCUUCGUUGUAAUGGACUGAAGAUACAUAAUGGCAGCACAGGUUUCUCGUCCCUGACAGAUCUAAUCAUUGAUGGGUGCUACCGUUUAUCAAGUCUCGAACAGCUUCUCCAUCCAACAUAUCUACCAGCUAUCAAGAAAAUUGCAAUAAUGAGUUGCUGGAACUUAAUAUCAGUGGGGACCGAAAGAUUUGGGGAUUUUCAUUGUCUUGAAAUAUUUAAGCUGGUGGAUUGUGGAAAAUUAAACUCCGAGAGUUUGACUGCACCCUCUCUGAUGAAGCUCGUGCUACAUGGUCGCUGUGAGAAUCUCAUGAACAGUAUCCAAUGCUGCUCUCUCACCAACUUUUUCCUGUCAUCCUGCCCUCUCACGUCCAUCCAACUGAAAAUGUGGAACCUUCCAGCUCUACAGGAGUUGCACAUUUCAGAUUGUCGAUCUCUUGCAUCCAUUGGACAGUCUGGACAUGUCUUCACCAACCUCAUUUACCUAACCAUCAGCAACUGUGAAGGACUGUCAACCAUUGAGAGUAUUCCAUUUACCUCUCUACAGGAACUGCGCAUUUCAAAUUGUAGAUCCCUUACAUCUAUUGGACAAAGUGAACAGGUCUUCAGAAACCUUAUUUCUCUAACCAUGAAGAACUGCACAGAACUGUCCACCAUUGAUGGUAUGCUAGAAAAAGAAUAUCUACCUGCCAUUAAGAGUAUUACAUUUGACUGCUGUCCCAAAUUGUUCAUAUACGGUAAAAGGUUUGGGGAUUUUUCUUCUCUGAAGGAUUUGAAAGUUUCUAGAUGCCAUGGAAUCAACUGGGGGGGACUGGUGUUACCAUCUUCCCUCCAAAUUCUCCAUUUGGAGUCAUGUGGAGAUAUCUCUUCAUUUAUUCCCAGCGGCUUAGAAAACCUUCAAUCCCUAGUUUCA
This 1857-nucleotide ribosomal RNA is filed under the name Triticum aestivum (bread wheat). RNAcentral's name for it is "partial small subunit ribosomal RNA". The record is from RNAcentral. Lineage: Eukaryota; Viridiplantae; Streptophyta; Magnoliopsida; Poales; Poaceae.